UUUGCACGGGAAUGCAGUAGCGGUUACUGGUGGAUGCCGCUAUUUUCGUUAGUGUGAGUUUUCAUUCCAGACAUCUUGAGCUGGGGUUCAAAACCCACGUUUUCACAGGGAUCCAUCGGGCUUUCGGUGGCUUGGUUCCUUUCCUUUCCCCAGCUAUCGCCGGGAGAACGAGCGUCAGGUCUCUCCACCAAGCCCCAUCUCACAAAGCUCUCCGCUUAAGUUUAAUUCCGCUGGGACUUCCGUUGAGAGGGAAUAAUCGCCGCACGAGUGAUCUGCGUCGAGGUUCCCGAGGCUCCCGUCGGUCCUCAUUCGGGUGGAUUUCCAUAGC
This 328-nucleotide small RNA is filed under the name Histoplasma capsulatum. RNAcentral's name for it is "hypothetical RNA". The record is from RNAcentral. Lineage: Eukaryota; Fungi; Ascomycota; Eurotiomycetes; Onygenales; Ajellomycetaceae. RNAcentral also lists the same sequence under 1 other name.